Molecule: unclassified non-coding RNA, 258 nt
Filed under: uncultured cyanobacterium
Lineage: Bacteria; Bacillati; Cyanobacteriota
Description: partial contains 16S ribosomal RNA, 16S-23S ribosomal RNA intergenic spacer, and 23S ribosomal RNA
Rfam family: Bacterial small subunit ribosomal RNA (bases 1-122)
Source: RNAcentral
GCCACGCCCGAAGUCGUUACCCUAACCAGCAAUGGAGGGGGACGCCGAAGGCAGAGCUAGUGACUGGGGUGAAGUCGUAACAAGGUAGCCGUACCGGAAGGUGUGGCUGGAUCACCUCCUUUCCAGGGAGACCUGAGAAAUGAAUUGAGUUCAAACGCAUCAAUCAUUACUCUCACAUCCCAGGUCGGUCGGGGUCAAACCAGAAGGCUUUCAAACUCAGAGCAGGGCGGGAGAUGGGCUAUUAGCUCAGGUGGUUAG